UUUCUCCCCGCCGCAUUCCCGGUGUCGACUUACUAGCUGCAAGCCUCUGCCUGCCUUCCUGCGCGCCGUUCCCCGCUAGUCGCUGCUGCUGGCGCGCACUCGCCGGGUUUUUCCUCCCACGGCCUCGAGAUGGUGGUGAAUGUGGCACGGAGGAGCCGGGCCUUCCAACCCGGUGGGCCCGAGCUCCGAAAGGCCCCCUCGGCAGUGAGAGGGGCGGGAGCCCGCGGGGGCCGCGCCCUUCUCUCGCUUCGGACUGCGCAACGCUGCGCUCUGGGCUGACAGGUGAGUGUUGCAGGCAGGCGGCCGGGUUUACGGAAGGGGUGGGGGUUUGGGAACCGGUCUCCUGGGGGAUGCGGGGAUGAAUCCCUGGGCCUGAAGUGUCUUAAUUCAGGGGGAGGCCGCAUGCUGGUGUCAGGAUGGCCUCCAGUUGAAUCUGUGACAUUUACCAGCUAGGUGAUUUUGGGACUGGUGACUACGCGCGAGACCUCUGGAGGUCGCCCUGGUAGACACGGUUUUCAGAAGGACGGGUUUUAGGCAUUCAGACCCUUGCGUGCAUCCCAGCUUGUUGCUUUCAGCCUCGCUAAGUGACUAAGCGACCUUCAGGAAGUAACUUAAUCGGUCUAAACCUCUUACCUGUAAUAGGCGGAUAAAACGGUCCCAUCAAGACUGAGAAAAAGCACACCAGCUAUUGGCACAGCGUGGGCAGUGGGGCCUACAGGAUGACUGACUUAGUCUACAGAGAUCCCGGCGUACUUAAGCAGGUAGUAAUGAUGGACAGGUGAGGCUUUAGGCGGCCGCCCUGGGAUCUGAAUUGCCCCUUGGCCCUUAUCGAAGCUGCAGCUGCUUCCGCAUAGCUGCUGUGGUCAAAAAGGAGCCCAGAGUGACAGUUUUCCUUGACGGUCGCCGUUCUGUUUGUUGUAACUGAUCUGCAACAUUUUGGGAAAAUACAGUUCCAUUGUACCUGCCACCUUUCAGCUGUAGCCAGAGACCUUUAUCAAAAUGGGCUUGUUUCCACAGAACAGCAGAACGGUUGGGGGUUUGCAUGUACAGUUAACCAGCAUAAGACUCGUACUGGGAAAAUCCAGCUGGGAUGUGACACAGCUUAACUGAUAGCUUAAGGCAUCAGUAUUGGGACCAAAGGCUGGUCAGAUUUGUAUCAUUCUGAGGACCAAAUGAUGGGAACAAUAAAAUUGUUCAUGACAGUUGUUCUCAUUUUGCUGUCCAGAUGAAGACUCUUAAGAUGACAGAAGGUGAUUUUUCUGGUGAUCGAGGACUUCCGGGGUAAUGACAGUGAUGAAAUGCAGGGGACCUGGUUGCCCCCAAGUUUCCUGGCAGUGUGUGAUACUGAGGAGGUGAGCUUGUUUCUGGAGCUGUGCUUUAAGGUAAAGUUGAUCAGCUUAAUCCUCCUGAUCCCUUUCCCAUCGGAUCUGAACACUGGUCUUGGUGGUCGUAAAAGGAGGAAAAGUAAUAGUGAAGCUGGCCUAAAUGUUGUAAUCUGGUAUAUGGCAUGUGGGCUAGUUUCAGACAGGUUUCAGAGAUGGUUGGAUCUCUGAAAUUGUAAAAUGAAGUAUAAUCUUAGGCUAAGGGAAGGAUGCGUGUGAAGCUCUGGAGGUUGGUAUAGUAAUAGCUGACCUAUUACUGCAUUUGGGAGGGAUCUGUCAUAGCUUCCUUGCCUCUUAAUUAAGGGUGGUGUUUUUUUCUUUUAGAUUCAUGUUACAUGUAAAGCUGUCCUCAUUUGUGACUAUGGACCUAUGGAGUUGGGACAAUCUCUAUGGGAAGCAGAAGGCAAGGACCCCGGUCAUUUUAGGUAGAAACAACAGCAUGCUAAUGCAAAAAAUUAUGCAGUGUGCUACUGAACUUCAGAGGUGAUCAAUAAAAGAAGAAUAAAAAGACUAAUAAAAGU
Long non-coding RNA from Homo sapiens (human), 1903 nucleotides. Ensembl annotates it as small nucleolar RNA host gene 12. Its record names the gene SNHG12. The record is from Ensembl. Lineage: Eukaryota; Metazoa; Chordata; Mammalia; Primates; Hominidae.